GGGACUGUGAAAUAAAAAACUCUUAAUGCUUUGACCAAAGACUGAAGUUCUCCAUAAGAUACCAUAGUCACUCAAUAGUGUUAUGUUUCCUUGAGGAGAUAUAAGC
This 106-nucleotide small nucleolar RNA is filed under the name Carlito syrichta (Philippine tarsier). RNAcentral describes it as "Small nucleolar RNA SNORA25 (ENSTSYG00000032205.1)". The record is from RNAcentral. Lineage: Eukaryota; Metazoa; Chordata; Mammalia; Primates; Tarsiidae.